UAGCUUCAAGAAUUGGAAAUUUCUUUGUACAUGUAAUAAUGGCUUUAAGUAUAGGGAAUUUCAAACACGCUAAGCUUCAAGGAAUAUUCUUUAAAUUCAACAUCAACAAAGACAUGCUUGUUUUUUUUUUUAAAAAACUGUCAAACAAUAGUCAAUACCCUCAUGAACAAUAUUGACUGUCAUAGUCCUGAUGGACUACUAUUAGCACUUAUUAUAUUGAUUAAAAAAACUCAACAUUUAACUCAGGCAAUGAUGUUUCUAAAAAGUGAUAAUUAUAAAGGCUUCACUACAUUUAUUUGAGGCCAGACAAAAGUUUAUUUAUAUGAUGAUAUGUUAUGAGUUUGAUAUAUGAGAUAUGUGUAAAUUAUCAUGAAGGUAAGCAAAUCCUAUGUGAUACAAAACACGACCAGUCUAUCUUACAGCCUUUAAAUCAAACAGAGAGUGGAAACAGGGAAUGUGUCAAUGAGACAACAACCAGAGCAAAAAGCAGAAAACAGCCUAAGGUCACAAACCCAACACUUUCACUAAAAUUAAUUUGGCUUGUUUAAUUUUUAUAAAAUUUUGACAAAGUAUUUACUUUGACCCGUAAACCAAAAUAUAAAAAUUUCAAAAAUUUGGAACCAACUGUUUUGUCAGAAAAAU
RNAcentral lists this long non-coding RNA (642 nucleotides) under Mytilus galloprovincialis (Mediterranean mussel). The record is from RNAcentral. Lineage: Eukaryota; Metazoa; Mollusca; Bivalvia; Mytilida; Mytilidae.